GGCCUGACUGAUAGUGCUCACUUGAAGGUAAAUUGCUGAUGCAAGUUUCCUGAAGUCAUCAGUUGCUGUCCUCUGAAGUGUUGAUACCCCAAAUACACGCGGGAAGAAAUCUGUCUCAUAUGCUGCCCAAAAGAAAAUGACUGUCAUCAUUGCCAAGUAGCCACCAAGAACAACCCCAGUAGUGAAAAUCUCAGCCAGCUUCCAACUAUCAGGCAGAGGAGAUGGUUU
This 228-nucleotide unclassified non-coding RNA is filed under the name Hevea brasiliensis (rubber tree). The record is from RNAcentral. Lineage: Eukaryota; Viridiplantae; Streptophyta; Magnoliopsida; Malpighiales; Euphorbiaceae.